Molecule: ribosomal RNA, 253 nt
Filed under: uncultured bacterium
Lineage: Bacteria
Description: partial 16S ribosomal RNA
Rfam family: Bacterial small subunit ribosomal RNA
Source: RNAcentral
UACGUAGGGUGCAAGCGUUGUCCGGAAUUAUUGGGCGUAAAGAGCGUGUAGGCGGCCCGAUUAGUCCGCUGUGAAAGUCCAGGGCUCAACCCUGGAAUGCCGGUGGAUACUGUCGGGCUAGAGUCCGGAAGGGGCGAGUGGAAUUCCUGGUGUAGCGGUGAAAUGCGCAGAUAUCGGGAGGAACACCUAUGGCGAAGGCAGCUCGCUGGGACGUUACUGACGCUGAGACGCGAAAGCGUGGGGAGCAAACAGG